GUGGGGAAUAUUGGACAAUGGGGGGAACCCUGAUCCAGCCAUGCCGCGUGUGUGAAGAAGGCCUUAUGGUUGUAAAGCACUUUAAGCGAGGAGGAGGCUACUUUAGUUAAUACCUAGAGAUAGUGGACGUUACUCGCAGAAUAAGCACCGGCUAACUCUGUGCCAGCAGCCGCGGUAAUACAGAGGGUGCGAGCGUUAAUCGGAUUUACUGGGCGUAAAGCGUGCGUAGGCGGCUUAUUAAGUCGGAUGUGAAAUCCCCGAGCUUAACUUGGGAAUUGCAUUCGAUACUGGUGAGCUAGAGUAUGGGAGAGGAUGGUAGAAUUCCAGGUGUAGCGGUGAAAUGCGUAGAGAUCUGGAGGAAUACCGAUGGCGAAGGCAGCCAUCUGGCCUAAUACUGACGCUGAGGUACGAAAGCAUGGGGAGCAAACAGG
Molecule: ribosomal RNA, 431 nt
Filed under: uncultured rumen bacterium
Lineage: Bacteria
Description: bacterial SSU rRNA
Rfam family: Bacterial small subunit ribosomal RNA
Source: RNAcentral